CCCUAGUAACGGCGAGUGAAGCGGGAAGAGCUCAAAUUUGAAAUCUGGCGGUCUACGGCCGUCCGAGUUGUAAUCUAGAGAGGUGUUUUCCGUGCCGGACCGUGUACAAGUCCCUUGGAACAGGGCGUCAUAGAGGGUGAGAAUCCCGUCCAUGACACGGACUACCGGUGCUCUGUGAUACACCUUCAAAGAGUCGAGUUGUUUGGGAAUGCAGCUCAAAAUGGGUGGUAAAUUCCAUCUAAAGCUAAAUACAGGCGAGAGACCGAUAGCGAACAAGUACCGUGAGGGAAAGAUGAAAAGAACUUUGGAAAGAGAGUUAAACAGUACGUGAAAUUGUUGAAAGGGAAACGCUUGAAGUCAGUCGCGUCUGCCAGGACUCAGCCUUGCUUCUGCAUGGUGCAUUUCCUGGUGGAUGGGCCAGCAUCGAUUUUGGUCGCCGGACAAGGGCGGGAGGAAUGUGGCAGCUUGCUGUGUUAUAGCCUCCCGUCGUACACGGUGGUUGGGAUCGAGGACUGCAGCACGCCUUUGGUCGGGGUUCGCCCACGCCACGUGCUUAGGAUGCUGGCGUAAUGGCUUUAAACGACCCGUCUUGAAACACGGACCAAGGAGUCUAACAUGCCUGCGAGUGUUUGGGCGUUAAACCCAGGCGCGUAAUGAAAGUGAAAAGUUGGGACUCUUUAGUGAGGCACCGACGCCCGAUCCUGACGUUCUCUGACGGAUUUGAGGUAGAGCAUGUAUGUUGGGACCCGAAAGAUGGUGAACUAUGCCUGAAUAGGGUGAAGCCAGAGGAAACUCUGGUGGAGGCUCGUAGCGAUUCUGACGUGCAAAUCGAUCGUCAAAUUUGGGUAUAGGGGCGAAAGACUAAUCGAACCAUCUAGUAGCUGGUUCCUG
This 891-nucleotide ribosomal RNA is filed under the name Heteroradulum kmetii. Its description in RNAcentral is "eukaryotic LSU rRNA". It matches the Rfam family "Eukaryotic large subunit ribosomal RNA", at positions 78 to 960 of the family's 3401-position model. Lineage: Eukaryota; Fungi; Basidiomycota; Agaricomycetes; Auriculariales; Auriculariaceae. The record is from RNAcentral.